GUGGGGAUGUGUGAAAGUGUGUGUAUCAAGUGUGUGCAUGUCUGUGUGAAUUGGGGUGUAUCAAGUGUGUGUAUGUGUGUGAAUUGUGUGUGUGCAUGUAUCAACUGUGUGUGAAUGUGCAUGGGUGUGUAUCAAGUGUGUGCAUGUGUGAAAAUGUGUGAAUGUGUGUGGGUGUUUAUGUAUCAAGUGUGUGCAUGGAUGUGUGUGCAAAUUGUGUAUCAAGUGUGUGGAUGUGCACGAGUAUGUGUGUAUUGUGUGCGUGUGUGUGAAGGUACUGGGUGUGUGUGUAUAUGAGUGUGUGCACGCACAAAUAUGCAUAAGCAUGUGUAUAUCGAGUGUGUGCAUGUGUGUGUGAAGGUAUAUAGGUGUGUGUGUAUCUGAGUGUGUCCAUGUGUAUGUGUGAAUGUGCAUGGGUAUGUGUGUAUUGAGUGUGUGCAUGUGUGUGUGAAGGUACCGGGUGUGCGUGUAUCCGAAUGUGUGCAUAUGUGUAAACGUGUGACUAUGGAUGAGCACGUGUGUGUUGAGUGUGUGCAUGUGUGUAUAGGUGUGUGAGCGUGUGUGUGAGAGAAUAGGCAUGGCUGUGUGUCGAGUAUGUGCAUGUGUGUGUAUAGGUGUGUGUGUGUGAGAAUAGGCAUGGGUGUGUGUCAUGUGCAUGUGUGUGUAUAGGUGUGUGAGCGAAUAGGCAUGGGUGUGUGUGUUGAGUAUGUGCAUGUGUGUGUAUAGGGGUGUGUGUGAGAAUUAGGCAUGGGUGUGUGUGUCGAGUGUGUGCAUGUGUGUAUAGGUGUGUGUGAGAAUAGGCAUGGGUGUGUGUGUCAUGUGUGCAUGUGUGUGUGUGUGAGAAUAGGCAUGGGUGUGUCGAGUGUGUGUGUAUAGGUGUUUGAGUGUGUGUGAGAAUAGGCAUGGGUGUGUCAAGUGUGUGCAUGCGUAUAGGUGUAUGAGUGUGUGUGAGAGAAUAGGCAUGGGUGUGUCGAGUGUGUGCAUGUGUGUAUAGGUAUGUGAGUGUGUGUGAGAAUAGGCAUGGGUGUGUGUCAAGUGUGUGUGUAUAGGUGUGUGUGAAUAGGCAUGAGGGUGUGUGUCGAGUGUGUGCAUGUGUGUAUAGGUGUAUGAGUGUGUGUGUGAGAAUAGGCAUGGGUGUGUGUAUCCAAGUGUUUGCAUGUGUAUGUGUGAGAGUUUGUAUGUGAGUGGGGUGGGUGUGAAUGUGUGUACAUGCGUGAGGGAGUGGGGUGGCUGUGAAGAGUGUGUGUGAGAGUGCAUGUGUGUUGUGCGUGCACACAUGCUUCAGGAGGAUGGUUUCCACUGAGAGAGUCUGGGGAUGAGUGGAGAGAAAUUUCCGGUGGGAUCAGAAGGUUCCUGCCUCUCAGACUGCAAGUUUCAG
Molecule: long non-coding RNA, 1375 nt
Filed under: Pan troglodytes (chimpanzee)
Lineage: Eukaryota; Metazoa; Chordata; Mammalia; Primates; Hominidae
Description: long non-coding RNA NONPTRT007941
Source: RNAcentral